Molecule: long non-coding RNA, 504 nt
Organism: Trichosurus vulpecula (common brushtail)
Lineage: Eukaryota; Metazoa; Chordata; Mammalia; Diprotodontia; Phalangeridae
Exons: 4
Source: RefSeq, a predicted model, not a curated record
AAACAGAGGCAAACAAAAGUUGAGUGACUUGGCACAGGGGUAGUGAGUUCACCAUUACAGAAUGUAUUCAAGCAGAACUAUUAAUCAAGGACACUGCUCCAAGCAGGGUGACUGGUGAGGUAAAGAAAGAGGACAGAGAUGAAGUGGAAGAAAGUCAGCCUGGGCUCGGCCCGGGUCAUGGAUGGAUGCUCCACUCAGUAGAUUACCUCCGGGAGGCUAAGCCGAAGGAGAGAAUGCUGCUGGCAUGACCCUGGGAAGGUCUCCAGGGCAGCUUCAAGGUAUCCACAUGGACAAGGCAGGAAAGCUGUUGUUCAUUGGAGACUUUUCCAGGAAGCUGGAUUCCCAUAGGAGUUUGCACAUGGAUUUCAGGAUUGCAUCAGCUGGAAAAAAAGAGCCCAAGGAAUGGUCUCUCCACGGCCUUCUAAGUUUUCCCCAGGAGAUUUCUAUUGCAUCUGCCACCUCAGGAGGUGUAGGAGACUGCACUCAUUUGUGUAUGGACCAGAG